This 492-nucleotide ribosomal RNA is filed under the name uncultured bacterium. RNAcentral's name for it is "partial 16S ribosomal RNA". It matches the Rfam family "Bacterial small subunit ribosomal RNA", at positions 29 to 507 of the family's 1533-position model. The record is from RNAcentral.
AGUGAACGCUGGCGGUAGGCCUAACACAUGCAAGUCGGACGGCAGCACAGUAAGAGCUUGCUCUUACGGGUGGCGAGUGGCGGACGGGUGAGGAAUACAUCGGAAUCUACUUUUUCGUGGGGGAUAACGUAGGGAAACUUACGCUAAUACCGCAUACGACCUACGGGUGAAGGCAGGGGAUCUUCGGACCUUGCGCGAUUGAAUGAGCCGAUGUCGGAUUAGCUAGUUGGCGGGGUAAAGGCCCACCAAGGCGACGAUCCGUAGCUGGUCUGAGAGGAUGAUCAGCCACACUGGAACUGAGACACGGUCCAGACUCCUACGGGAGGCAGCAGUGGGGAAUAUUGGACAAUGGGCGCAAGCCUGAUCCAGCCAUACCGCGUGGGUGAAGAAGGCCUUCGGGUUGUAAAGCCCUUUUGUUGGGAAAGAAAAGCAGCAGGUUAAUACCCCGCUGUUCUGACGGUACCCAAAGAAUAAGCACCGGCUAACUUCGUG